RNAcentral lists this ribosomal RNA (490 nucleotides) under uncultured bacterium. RNAcentral describes it as "partial 16S ribosomal RNA". It matches the Rfam family "Bacterial small subunit ribosomal RNA", at positions 30 to 507 of the family's 1533-position model. The record is from RNAcentral.
UGAACGCUGGCGGUAGGCCUAACACAUGCAAGUCGAACGGCAGCACAGUAAGAGCUUGCUCUUACGGGUGGCGAGUGGCGGACGGGUGAGGAAUACAUCGGAAUCUACUUUUUCGUGGGGGAUAACGUAGGGAAACUUACGCUAAUACCGCAUACGACCUACGGGUGAAAGCAGGGGAUCUUCGGACCUUGCGCGAUUGAAUGAGCCGAUGUCGGAUUAGCUAGUUGGCGGGGUAAAGGCCCACCAAGGCGACGAUCCGUAGCUGGUCUGAGAGGAUGAUCAGCCACACUGGAACUGAGACACGGUCCAGACUCCUACGGGAGGCAGCAGUGGGGAAUAUUGGACAAUGGGCGCAAGCCUGAUCCAGCCAUACCGCGUGGGUGAAGAAGGCCUUCGGGUUGUAAAGCCUUUUUGUUGGGAAAGAAAAGCAGCAGGUUAAUACCCCGCUGUUCUGACGGUACCCAAAGAAUAAGCACCGGCUAACUUCGUG